RNAcentral lists this long non-coding RNA (1145 nucleotides) under Homo sapiens (human). RNAcentral's name for it is "HSALNT0235784". Lineage: Eukaryota; Metazoa; Chordata; Mammalia; Primates; Hominidae. The record is from RNAcentral.
CUGGAGCGGGGAGAGGAGAGAGGCUGGGAAAGGCUGGUGGGCGGAACAGCCAGAACACACAACGUUCAUAGAUGAAGGUUGCCGGGUCCGGUCUGUGGUGCCCAAAACAAUGACAAUGCUAACAUGGAGGAUCGCUGAUCACAGAUCACUGUAACAGGUGUCAUAACAAUAAAAAAGUCUGAAAGAUCGUGAGAACCACCAACACGUAACACAGAGAGAAUGCGAGGUGGCCACACACUUCCAACUGGUGAAAAAAAACGCAGCAUCUUUGAAGCUCAACUAAGCAUGGAGGUGCCGUAAAGCGAGGUACGCCUGCACAUGAGUGCCGUAAAGCAAGGUACGCCCGCAUCACAGGAGUGCCGUAAAGCGAGGAAAGACAGUUAUGUGCCCACCGAACAUAGAGGAAUCAUAUUGCAGACGGGCCGUAUAACCUUGCCAUGAUACGACGAAAGCUGACGGCAUGUGUACGCAAGCAACAGCCACUCAACAAACAUCUCCUAAGCUAUCACACACCAGAUGCAGGGGCGGGCACAGACUCCAGCACCCCCAGCUCCGUUACGAGUCGCCCAUGGAAAGGCAACGGGAUUCAACGAGGUGGGCAUGGGGCCAGGAGGCAGAUCUGGGUCCCGCGUCCAGACCUAAUCUCUAGGUGCCGCCACUUCCUUAUCUGUAAAAUGGGCAAGACACAGCUGCCCUGCGCAGUUCACAGGGCUGCCCCUGUGGAGUGACAAGAGAUACCAGAUAAAAAGAGCAUUUCACAAACAAUAACGCGUUCAGUCAAUCAGGCAAAAAAAAAAAAAGGGGCAGGGGCCAGGCUCAGUGGCUCACGCCUGCAAUCCCAGCACUUUGGGAGGCUGAGGUGGGUGGAUCACCUGAGGUCAGGAGUUCGAGACCAGCCUGGUCAACAUGGUGAAGCCCCGUCUCUACUAAAAAUACAAAAAUUAGGGCUGGGUGCAGUGGCUUCUGCCUGUAAUCCCAGCACUUUGGGAGGCCGGGGCGGGCAGAUCACCUGAGGUCAGGAGUUUGAGACCAACAUGGUGAAACCCUAUCUCUGCUAAAAAUACAAAAAUUAGCUGGGUGUGUGGCGGGCCCCUGUAAUUCCAGCUACUCGGGAGGCUGUGGCAGGAGAAUCACUUGAACCCAGG